Magallana angulata is the source of this 1199-nucleotide long non-coding RNA. RefSeq lists it as uncharacterized. NCBI's taxonomy places the organism in Eukaryota, Metazoa, Mollusca, Bivalvia, Ostreida, Ostreidae. The record is from RefSeq and is a predicted model, not a curated record. The transcript has 2 exons.
UAUAAUUUUAUAAUAACCAUCUUCAUAUGAUUACAUAGAUGUUUGUUAAAUCAAUACAACCAACUACCAAAUAACUCAAACAGAAGAUGGCAGACAUUUUGAGUAGUUUUUAUUCAUUGUCAUACAACUUAUAUUAGUCACUGAGUAGCCACCAGCCAUCUUAACAUUGUCAAUGAUCAUAAAUGUCUUCGAAAACCAAAUGAACAUGCAUGUAUACUUAUGUAGAUACUUUGGGUAUAUAUGAAAUUCAAAUACAAAUAUAUAAAUUCUUAUUCAACAAAACAGUCAUUAUUACAGUAUGUACCUAGCGUCCCAUUAUAGUACUGUGUAAAAUACUUCAAUAGACUCAAAAACAUUACAUCAAAAAUUUCUCUAAAACUUUAAACUCUGCACCAAUAUGCAUCCACAUCAAAAAUCUUUUAAAAUUAUAAAUAAAUUCAAUUCUUAAGCAAUAAAAACUAAUUCUCUUAAAAUAAUAUGUUAACUUCAAGUUCCGCUGUCAACUUCACUUGGUGAAAAAACUACAUGUAUCAAAUUAUGCCGAGGAUGCAUGCCAUGUUUAGAGACUUUGAUGUCAUAUCCUUAUAUAUUACAAACAAUAAAAUGGCCCAACUCAUUCAGAAAUCCUAAUGUAAUGCACGUUAUCAUUGCCCAUAAAAACAUCAAAAUCUACUGGAAUGCAUACAUUGAUUAAGUGGAACACCUAUAUUGAUCAGUGGAGAUCCCUUAAAACGUAUUUCCCAUUCUUGGAAGAGCUUUUCUACGACACUGUUGAAAUAAUGCCAGUAUCUUUCCAUUAAAAUCCCUGGUAGUUCAAUACUGUAAAUCCAAACAGACAAAUGCUGUUUAUUUACCUUGCAGACUCUGCAAUGCAGAGUAAUAAACAAUUUUAAAGUAUUCUGAAAUAUGUGUGUGAAAAACUUGAAAAAUUCAACAAAAAACUGAAAUGUGAUUAAAAAAAAUUUGAUGCCCUAAACCCUGAGUCAACAAUUCUGAAACAUCUAUGCUAGUUUCACUUUAAGAAUCUGAACUCCGAAAAUGUGAACUACCUUGCCCCUUCCCUUGUCAAUACAUCAAAUAUUUAAUCUUAAUAGACCAAACUUGUAAAAAAAGAGAAUUUAAAAAAUGAAAUUAUUGAUCCAAUCAUUCAGUUGUAUCAAAUGAGGUACAAGUAACAAAUUUGCAAUUCCCCCCCCCCC